GUCAGGCCUUGCACAGAGAUAGCAAAAUGCGUGUCCCCGCGCCGAAGCCUGUUUUCGGGCAGCUUCCAUCAACUUCGCUGCGAUACCGCGCCGUCGCAUGUCCGGCUCAACCCAAAGAGCGGCAAUCCACGGCGUGUAUUGUGGCCGAUCAUCAAGGUCAUUUUCGAUCAACAAGACUGAUCCAAGAUACUCGCCUUGCUCAUGGCAACAAGAGCGAGCGGGAUUCCAUCGCCGUUAAUCAUUCGAUCGAGGUGAGCCCGAUAUUCGGCCAAAGACACGCCGCUUUCAGUCACUACGCGUUCCAAGCACGGACAGCGCGUUUGCCGACAUUUCCGGAAAGGGAAAGGCGGUUCCAAGCGACACGAGGUCGAGGAAUUCCGAUACCAUCGACACGUCGCCGUCGACAUACUCGACCAUCGAUCGGAAUCAGUCCGCCACGUGCUUCAGCGUUAUAACUCGGGCAAUGGGCGAGCGGGUCGCCAGCCACGGCUGUGGGCGCCUGCCGUGGCGGCGCCGGCUUCA
RNAcentral lists this small RNA (522 nucleotides) under Sinorhizobium meliloti 2011. RNAcentral describes it as "putative ncRNA". Lineage: Bacteria; Pseudomonadati; Pseudomonadota; Alphaproteobacteria; Hyphomicrobiales; Rhizobiaceae. The record is from RNAcentral.